GUGGGGAAUCUUGCGCAAUGGGCGAAAGCCUGACGCAGCCAUGCCGCGUGAAUGAUGAAGGUCUUAGGAUUGUAAAAUUCUUUCACCGGGGACGAUAAUGACGGUACCCGGAGAAGAAGCUCCGGCUAACUUCGUGCCAGCAGCCGCGGUAAUACGAAGGGGGCUAGCGUUGCUCAGAAUUACUGGGCGUAAAGGGCGCGUAGGCGGACAGUUUAGUCAGAGGUGAAAGCCCAGGGCUCAACCUUGGAAUUGCCUUUGAUACUGGCUGUCUUGAGUACGGGAGAGGUGAGUGGAACUCCGAGUGUAGAGGUGAAAUUCGUAGAUAUUCGGAAGAACACCAGUGGCGAAGGCGACUCACUGGCCCGUUACUGACGCUGAGGCGCGAAAGCGUGGGGAGCAAACAGGAUUAGAAACCCGUGUAGUCC
RNAcentral lists this ribosomal RNA (425 nucleotides) under uncultured bacterium. RNAcentral's name for it is "partial 16S ribosomal RNA". It matches the Rfam family "Bacterial small subunit ribosomal RNA", at positions 354 to 796 of the family's 1533-position model. The record is from RNAcentral.